This 433-nucleotide ribosomal RNA is filed under the name uncultured bacterium. Its description in RNAcentral is "partial 16S ribosomal RNA". It matches the Rfam family "Bacterial small subunit ribosomal RNA", at positions 29 to 507 of the family's 1533-position model. The record is from RNAcentral.
AACGAACGCUGGCGGCAUGCCUAACACAUGCAAGUCGAACGGAACCUCCGGUUUGGGGGUCCCCGGGUUGCGUAAGGGGGGGGAACCUGCCCUUAGGUUGGGAUUAACUCCCCGAAAGGGGUGCUAAUACGGGAUAAUUUCUUCGUACCAAAGAUUUAUCCCCUUUGGAUGGUCCCGAGUUGGAUUAGCUAGUGGGUAGGGUAAACCCAUACCACGGCGCGGAGCCAUAGCUGGUUUGAGAGGAUGAUCAGCGACACUGGGACUGAGACACGGCCCCGACUCGUACGGGAGGCGGCAGUGGGGAAUAUAGGAGCAGGGGCGAAAGGCUGAUCCAGCAAUGGCGGGAGAGUGAUGAAGGCCUUAGGGUUGUAAAGCUCUUGUACCCGGGAUGAUAAUGACAGUACCUGGAGAAUAAGCUCCGGCUAACUCCGUG